ACUACAGGCUUUCUGAGAAUGCAACAUAUAGAUGGGCUCAUGAUCAAGGGUUGGACUUGACCGUGGAUUCUGUCACACAGGUUAUCCAUGAAUGUGAAACAUGUGCUGGAAUUAAGCAAGCCAAGCAGUUAAAGACCCUGUGGUAUGGAGCAUGAUGGCUGAAAUAUAAAUAUGGGGAGGCCUAGCAGAUUGACUGUAUCACACUCCCACAAACCUGCCAAGGCAAGCACCAUGUGCUUACAAUGGUGGAAGCAAC
Molecule: long non-coding RNA, 256 nt
Organism: Aquila chrysaetos chrysaetos
Lineage: Eukaryota; Metazoa; Chordata; Aves; Accipitriformes; Accipitridae
Exons: 3
Source: RefSeq, a predicted model, not a curated record